RNAcentral lists this non-coding RNA (145 nucleotides) under uncultured delta proteobacterium. RNAcentral describes it as "FMN". It matches the Rfam family "FMN riboswitch aptamer (RFN element)". Rfam says of the family: The RFN element is a highly conserved domain that is found frequently in the 5'-untranslated regions of prokaryotic mRNAs that encode for flavin mononucleotide (FMN) biosynthesis and transport proteins. This element is a metabolite-dependent riboswitch that directly binds FMN in the absence of proteins. In Bacillus subtilis, the riboswitch most likely controls gene expression by causing premature transcription termination within the 5' untranslated region of the ribDEAHT operon and precluding access to the ribosome-binding site of ypaA mRNA. Lineage: Bacteria; Deltaproteobacteria. The record is from RNAcentral.
AGCGCAUCUCAGGGCGGGGUGAAAGUCCCCACCGGCGGUGACUCCCGAGGGAGAAGUCCGCGAGCGCCUUCCGACGGCGGAAGGGUCAGCAGAUCCGGUGCGAUUCCGGAACCGACGGUAACAGUCCGGAUGGAAGAGAUACGGC